Molecule: ribosomal RNA, 253 nt
Filed under: uncultured bacterium
Lineage: Bacteria
Description: partial 16S ribosomal RNA
Rfam family: Bacterial small subunit ribosomal RNA
Source: RNAcentral
UACGUAGGGCGCAAGCGUUGUCCGGAAUUAUUGGGCGUAAAGAGCGUGUAGGCGGUUUGGUAGGUCCGCUGUGAAAACUCGAGGCUCAACCUCGAGACGCCGGUGGAAACCAUCAGACUAGAGUCCGGAAGAGGAGAGUGGAAUUCCUGGUGUAGCGGUGAAAUGCGCAGAUAUCAGGAAGAACACCCGUGGCUAAGGCGGCUCUCUAGUACGGUACUGACGCUGAGACGCGAAAGCGUGGGGAGCGAACAGG